GCUUGUUUCAUUCCCCUGAUUUAUUUUUAAACUAUGUUUAAAAAUCUAUUUUAUAAUAUACAGUAGAAUUUUAUGGAAAAUUGAAGUCACAGUCACUAGCUUAUAUAAUGUACAUAAGUUUUAAAAGUAAUACCAUGUUUAUUUAUUAGAAGCUAAUUUUUCCUUCUACAUCUUGUUCUCUACUAGAUCUAUUCCAUGAGAUAGAGUCAGAAAGAAAGAAAAUAUUACUAAGGUGAAACUCUCACUAAAGACAAAGGAGAAAUUACCCUGUUCUACAGAGUGAAAUCUUAAGAGACCCAAAGAAGUCUACACAGGUUGAGGUCAGACUACAGAAAAGGAUCUUUCUCUUCACUUCCUUCUGGGAGACAGCAAGAAUCCCCCCUGCAGGUGGAGGAGACAGGUGAGUGAGUGUCGCAGGGUAGGCAGUGG
RNAcentral lists this long non-coding RNA (429 nucleotides) under Chinchilla lanigera (long-tailed chinchilla). Its description in RNAcentral is "lncRNA (ENSCLAG00000024916.1)". The record is from RNAcentral. Lineage: Eukaryota; Metazoa; Chordata; Mammalia; Rodentia; Chinchillidae.